Mus musculus (house mouse) is the source of this 2998-nucleotide long non-coding RNA. RefSeq annotates it as predicted gene, 34038. The transcript is spliced from 6 exons. Lineage: Eukaryota; Metazoa; Chordata; Mammalia; Rodentia; Muridae. The record is from RefSeq and is a predicted model, not a curated record.
GCCCCACACUCUCUUGAGAGCAUUAUCAGGCAACUGCCUGACCUCUGGAUGACCAAAGCCUGAAUGACUCACUAUCAAAGCUUGCUGCUGACUGAGCGACUGACUUUUGCUCCCCCUUCUGUCCUCAAUCCCACUACCUUACUAUCCCAAACUAACGAAACCCCCACCCCCCGCCCCCCGUGCACAACUGCGGGGAGAUAUUGGCCAGCCAUGGCCAGGAACAGCAACCUGGUUCACUGACAGAAGCAGCUUUGUGGUAGAAGGAUCUAAAAAGAGGAUAAAAUUAGUCAGUAGGUCCCCCUAUCACAUUCCUGGACUACAAAAGGCAGCAGAAGACCUGGUAAGCAACUGCCAAGCCUGCACGCUCACCAAUGGUGGAUUCAGUAGGCUCCAUGGUGGAAGGCAUCUGCGGGGAGACAGACCUGGGACCUUCUGGGAAACUGACUUUACUGAGAUAAAACCAUCCAGCCAUCAAAACUACAUGAUAAAAGCCAAUGUAUGAAGGCAUCACAUAUUUGAGGAGUUAAACCUAGAAAAUUUGAAACUGAUAGAAAGCUGUCUUCAAGGGUCUUGGAGUCAGCAUGCCUAAGGACAAGAUGUCUAGAAGGACUCCUGAGAUGAACACAGUUGAAUCUGAGACAGUUGUACCUGUCACUUGCUCUCAGAGUCAGCUCUCAACAAGGGAAAGGGCAUAGAAAAAUUUACCAAUCUAAUUUGUAUUACAGGUUUUCUGGAGACAAGGGUGUAAACAGAUAGAAGAAAGAAAUGAAACCCUAGGCAGUGAAAAAACAUUUUGAGGUGAUGACAAUGUUCUUUAUCACAUUCUGUGAUGAGAUUAUAAGUACACACAUUCGGGGAAACAUGUCAACUGCUGUCAUGUCUCGAAUGUGUAUUAAUUAUAAAUUAAUAUUUAAUUGUAUCCCCACAAUAACUCUAUAAACUACUAAUAAACUUCCAGUUAUUCACCAUUUUAAUUAAGUUGAAUAUAGCUAUAUAGCUUUUAUUGGUAAAUCAUUUUUGAAAAAAUAAUUUUGGCCUUCAAACUAAAGGAAGCUUUCAUUUCCUACAAUGUAAGUAGGAAUAUUACUUUGCAUACUAAAGACAAAGAAUAGAUAGGGUUAUCUUUGAAAAACAACUUCAAGAGAGAAUGCAUUUCAGGACACUCAAUAUCUUUCAUUAUUUUUAGAAAUAUUUCAUAAGCAUCAAUCAAUAUAACUCAUUUAUUAAAGUUUAUUUCAUAAUAUUUGGAUCGUUUUAUAAAUCUUUUUUUAACCCUCAAUCAAAUGCCCUUUAUUUAAAUUAACUUAAAUAUUUAUUUCUUUUACAUUCUGCAUAUGAAUGUUUUGCUUUCAUUGAUGAACAUGUACCACAUGCACACCGACUGACAUUCCUGGGAUGGAUAGAAGGACCAAGCCUGAGUCCAAUGCACAGCCAACAAGAUUCCUGUCUCCAGCUCCAGUCUUUUCUUUUCUUCAUGUAAUUGCAUACAUUCUCCAAGUGAAUGAACUACCAUUAGUUUUUCAGAUAUUUUAACUAUUUGUCUAAAUGAUUCCUAGCUAAUUUCACAGAAUAAUUACUUUUUCGGCACAAUUUUUCUUUUUAAAUUUACUAACAGGAAAACUUAGAAGUAGAGAAAAAAGAUUCGUCUUUACACCAAUAAAAAAAUAAAUAGAUUUGCUCAAAUAGUCAGGAACAGCUAAAAGAAGACCAAAGGGCCUGUUGGAAUGCGUCUGGCCCUGACAGAGGUGGGAAAUAGGGAAAAAAAGGUAAGGUCAAAGAGUGUAGAGGAAUAAUGGUAGGGAUCUGUGAUAGAAAUUUCUAACCUUUUCAUUUUUCACAGAUUUAUAUUUACUUGCUUCUGGAAUCCACAACAAAUUACUACAAGCUGAGUAUCUUAGAACAAGUGACAUUUUUCAUUGUCAUGAAGACCAGUAUCCCCAAGAUAAGGUUCAACAAAGACAGAAAUCUCAGCACCGAGAAGAGAAAGCAAAUGCAAAUUCCCACUCCUAACUAAGUUGCUGUUUACCAUUGAUAUUCUCUGGGAAGAAAAAAUUCACAGUUGUCCAAUGGAACAUCACCAUUGUCAACUGGGAAUAUCACUGGCAUUCCAGGGCAGUCUCCAUGCUGAUAGCAGUUGAACAACACAAAGGAGAUUGAAAUUGAAAUUAAUACCUUAAUGUGGAAGCAUGAUGAACUGCCUGUCAGGGAGGUGCACGCUUCCACUUUACAAAGUUCAAUAUCUGCUUCUUCUUGGGACUGUGACUCAUCCUUGGCAAAAUCAUUUGUGGCAGUAUAGGGAGAAAAGGCAAGGCGUUCCUUUAGUGGAAGAUGAAAUUUCUUGUAGUUUCACAUUACAGCUGAUGCAACUUCACAGCUGAAGACAAUUUUAUGUGCACGUUUAUAAUAUUUACUACCCAAUAAGAAGGCUGGAUGUUAAAAAAAAUGGGUAUAACAGGCAAGACAAAAGACCAGUUUUCAGGAUGAAAGUUCAUUGCUAAUCUUGGAUACAGACAUUUUAAUGCUGCAACUAAUGUAGUGUUAUUAUUAUUAUUAUGAAAGUAUUAUCACAUUUUUUCUCUCAUACUGUAAAAUGCAGUUGCCUAUAGUUUUAGAAAGUAACUGAAUUAUCAUUUACUUUUAGCUGGAAAUGAAAUGAGAUAAUUUUACCUAUAUAAAUUUAUUUUAAGUUAACAUACCUUAGGACGUUUUGGCUUAGUAAAUAUAAAAUCAGUGUUUUUCAAUAUUUUAGUUUGUCUCUUUAAUGUACAGGCGACACAUCCAUCAGUUAUUUGGGGUGUGGAUUUAUAGUUGAUGAGGAAAGUCAAGAUCUUUUACAUCUAUAAAAACAUAGAGGUAUUUCAGUUUUCUCUGCAUAUCAAUAAUAUUAAUAAACAACAGUUUUCCAAAUGUACCUCAUAAAUGUUCUGCAAGAUAAACUGAGAUAGACUGGGGAAUGAAAAAAAGCACUCAGUAAUAAAGGCUGCUUACUCUUCCUCCA